This 252-nucleotide ribosomal RNA is filed under the name uncultured Helcococcus sp. Its description in RNAcentral is "partial 16S ribosomal RNA". It matches the Rfam family "Bacterial small subunit ribosomal RNA", at positions 524 to 776 of the family's 1533-position model. Lineage: Bacteria; Bacillati; Bacillota; Tissierellia; Tissierellales; Peptoniphilaceae. The record is from RNAcentral.
UACGUAUGGGGCAAGCGUUGUCCGGAAUUAUUGGGCGUAAAGGGUACGUAGGCGGUUAUUUAAGUCCUAAUUAAAAGGCAAUGGCUCAACCAUUGUAAGGUUAGGAAACUAGAUAACUUGAGUAGAUGAGGGGAAAGUGGAAUUCCAUGUGUAGCGGUGAAAUGCGUAGAUAUAUGGAGGAACACCUGUGGCGAAGGCGACUUUCUGGAAUCAAACUGACGCUGAGGUACGAAGGCGUGGGGAGCAAACAGG